Daktulosphaira vitifoliae (grape phylloxera) is the source of this 1113-nucleotide long non-coding RNA. RefSeq lists it as uncharacterized. NCBI's taxonomy places the organism in Eukaryota, Metazoa, Arthropoda, Insecta, Hemiptera, Phylloxeridae. The transcript is spliced from 3 exons. The record is from RefSeq and is a predicted model, not a curated record.
UAUCAAUAUCACUAAUCAUAAUCAUUUCGUUCAUGAUUUUUUCAUUUUUCAUAUUUAUGUUUUUAAGUAUUAUUCAUAGUAAAAUGAAUAAGAGGUAUGCUCGAUCAUAGUUCGCGUUUUCGUAAUGGUACACUCACGUGCAUCGCUUUUUGUUUUUGUGCUUUCGUAUACGAUCGGCAAAAUACGAUCACUACCUAAUGCACUUUAUAAUCGCGCGAUUUUUUAAUUGAUUAUUCUGAUACGAUAUCAAUGACGAAUUUUUAAGUAAUAAUUAUAUCAAUUACUUUAAGACAAUCAUAGAUCUUAUAAACAUGGAUAAGACAUUGAUACUUUAUCGGUGAAGACUGUGAAGUAAAUUGAGGCUAUUUGUUUCCAUUAUUACAUUAUCAGAUUUUACUUUUUAUUAUUUAAUGGUUGAGUUGGCUUAUAACAAUUAUAAUGUAAACAGACGGCCUCAUAUUCAUUAUUGUAAUAUUAUUAUAAUAUGAACAUUUAUUUAUAACUGUAUUCGUAACUUUUUCAACGUCCUAGUAGUUUUAUGCUUGAGUACUCAACGUAUCUACAGUUGCGGUUAUAGACCACCAUUGUUAUCUUUUUACUAUAUCUACGAUUUUAAUCCAUGAUACAUAAUCAAUAAAUUGGCUGCUGCCUCUUAGACAGUUAUAUUAACCAUGUCGGCUACAGUCAAAAAUAAUUAAUAGUAUUAGAACCAGAUAAUCCUAUGAUGAUGAGAUUUUUUAAAAGGCUCUCGAACAUCAUUCAAUGAAACAAAAAUUAAAUUUACAACAAGAAGUACUGUCUCUGAUAGAAAAUGUUAAAACUAAACAAAAUAAUGAACUAUUAUUUAAAAACAAAAUAAAUAUUUUAUUUCAUCAAAAUGAGGCACAAAUAGUUUCAUUAGAUAAACUUAAAAUAGAAUUAAAAAUGGCAAAGAACAAGGCAAUAAUCAUGUAGAUAAACGGAAAUUGCGAUUUUUAGUUGUUGAUAGAAAAAUUACAGAGCAAAAUAAAAACAUUUUAGAUUUAAAAAGACAGUAACACUGUAGUAGGACACUUUUAAAUGAAUUAUUAAAAUACGAAAAAGAUCAAGAAAUUGUGAUGGUGUCACGUUUUC